RNAcentral lists this ribosomal RNA (208 nucleotides) under uncultured Peptococcaceae bacterium. Its description in RNAcentral is "partial 16S ribosomal RNA". It matches the Rfam family "Bacterial small subunit ribosomal RNA", at positions 568 to 775 of the family's 1533-position model. Lineage: Bacteria; Bacillati; Bacillota; Clostridia; Eubacteriales; Peptococcaceae. The record is from RNAcentral.
CGCGUAGGCGGUCAUUUAAGUCAGAGGUGAAAACUACCGGCUCAACCGGUAGCCUGCCUUUGAAACUGGAUGACUUGAGGGCAGGAGAGGGGAGUGGAAUUCCCAGUGUAGCGGUGAAAUGCGUAGAUAUUGGGAGGAACACCAGUGGCGAAGGCGGCUCUCUGGCCUGUUUCUGACGCUGAGGCGCGAAAGCGUGGGGAGCGAACGG